GGAAAAAAGGCAGAGAAAGGGACCAGGGGUACAGAAGUCAGGAAAUCGUCCAGGACUGUUAGCCUCUGUGCUGGUUCCUCACAGCCUAAAUCUACUCUCCCCUGAUGGAGGACGGGGACCCAGAGCCCACUGAGUUAGUGCUUGAGAUUUCCAGCUUGUGCUUGAGCUGGGGUGUCUGGCAUGCUGUUUCCACAGGAAAUGAGGGGCCUGAAUAUGGAUGGAACUCCUCACCGAGACCACAAGGGCUGCAGGCCAAAUCUCCAAAUGAAAUCAGGCUGGGGAGAAAUGAACAAGCGAGAUGCAGAAAACAAUGUGAAGAAGAAACUCUGAAGAUACGAAUAAUAAUAGAAAAAAAGGCAGUGUCUCUGGGGGAAGUAGCUACCAUGAAGGAUGUAAAACCUUCCCUGAGCUGCUCUGACGCAAGUGUUCCAGCCCAGAGGAGCUCCCAACCACCAGGCAGCAUCAGCAGUGAGCUGUAGGAGGGCACCCCCCAGCCUGGGUGGACCCCAGGUAACUGCAACCCAACCCACCUCUGACUGCACCACCCAGAAAGAGUAGCCUUACCCAGUCGCUCCUGAGUUCCUGCCCUAUGACAUCUGAGCUGAGCGGUAUGCAGGUGCUGCUGAAAACUGCUGAGCUUUAGAGUAAUUUGUUAAGACUGAGCCAAAACACAUCCCUUGGGGGGGUCCUUUUUGAAAGUGAGUGGGUAGACUAGGCUAGCAUUUAAACUACAGUUUGAAAAUUAUGUGUGGAAUUAACGAACUUUUACCCCAGUUCUUUAUUGUUGUAAAACACAUAUAACAUAAAGUUUAUCAAUAUACCUAUUUCAGUGGUAUUAAAUAUGUUAGUAUCAA
This is a long non-coding RNA of Microtus oregoni (creeping vole), 854 nucleotides long. RefSeq lists it as uncharacterized. Lineage: Eukaryota; Metazoa; Chordata; Mammalia; Rodentia; Cricetidae. The transcript has 3 exons. The record is from RefSeq and is a predicted model, not a curated record.